RNAcentral lists this ribosomal RNA (229 nucleotides) under uncultured microorganism. RNAcentral describes it as "partial 16S ribosomal RNA". It matches the Rfam family "Bacterial small subunit ribosomal RNA", at positions 9 to 226 of the family's 1533-position model. The record is from RNAcentral.
GAGUUUGAUCAUGGCUCAGGACGAACGCUGGCGGCGUGCCUAAUACAUGCAAGUCGAGCGAAUCACCGGGAGCUUGCUCUCGGCGAUUAGCGGCGGACGGGUGAGUAACACGUGGGCAACCUGCCUGUAAGACUGGGAUAACUUCGGGAAACCGGAGCUAAUACCGGAUCAAUCUUUUCCUCGCAUGAGGAAAAGACUAAAAGAACGGUUUCGGCUGUCACUUACAGAU